This 896-nucleotide ribosomal RNA is filed under the name uncultured bacterium. RNAcentral describes it as "bacterial SSU rRNA". It matches the Rfam family "Bacterial small subunit ribosomal RNA", at positions 630 to 1528 of the family's 1533-position model. The record is from RNAcentral.
AACCCACAAGUCUUGAGGCAUGUAGGGGUCAGUGGAACGAUGUGUGGAGCGGUGAAAUGUGUAGAUAUACAUCGGAACGCCAAUGGGCGAAGGCAGCUGACUGGGCAUGUCCUGACGCUCAGGUACGAAAGCGUGGGUAACGAACGGGAUUAGAUACCCCGGUAGUCCACGCCGUAAACGAUGCGCACUAGGUCGUGGUACCUCUCAUGGUUUCACGGCUGAAGGUAAACUGGUUAGUGCGCCGCCUGGGGAGUACGGUCGCAAGGCUAAAACUCAAAGGAAUUGACGGGGGCUCACACAAGCGGUGGAGCAUGUUGCUUAAUUCGAGGCAACGCGAAGAACCUUACCUGGGCUUGACAUGUAUGGAUUAACUUAUUGAAAGAUAGGCCACGCCCUUUGGGUGGAACAUACACAGGUGCUGCAUGGCUGUCGUCAGCUCGUGCUGUGAAGUGUUGGGUUAAGUCCCUUAACGAGCGCAACCCCUAUCGUUAGUUACUCACGCGUCAUGGCGAGGACUCUAGCGAGACUGCCGGUGUCAAACCGGAGGAAGGUGGGGAUGACGUCAAGUCAGCAUGGCCCUUACGCCCAGGGAUGCAAACGUGCUACAAUGGUGUGGACAGAGCGAAGCGAUACCGCGAGGUGGAGCAAAUCGCAAAAACCGCACCCCAGUUCGGAUAGCAGGCUGCAAUUCGCCUGCUUGAAGUUGGAAUCGCUAGUAAUCGCGUAUCAGCAUGACGCGGUGAAUACGUUCCUGAGCCUUGUACACACCGCCCGUCACGUCAUGGAAGCUGCUAGUGCCCGAAGUCACCUCGGUUCAGGGGUGCCUACGGCAAGAGUGGUGACUGGGACGAAGUCGUAACAAGGUAGCCGUAGGAGAACCUGCGGCUGGAUCACCU